Molecule: long non-coding RNA, 347 nt
Organism: Dreissena polymorpha
Lineage: Eukaryota; Metazoa; Mollusca; Bivalvia; Myida; Dreissenidae
Exons: 3
Source: RefSeq, a predicted model, not a curated record
UGUAUGUAAAUAUUUUUUAACAUAUUAUGACAUAUAUUUAACAUAAUUAUUUCUUAUAUUUAGGUUUUUGGUAUCCAUUCAUCACUUUUUUCGUUCAACUGUGGAAUGUUUGAAUUUGAACACUUUGUACUUUCUUUUCAGACGCACAAAAACAACCAUGUGUGAAUGAUGAGAUCUCAUCCAUCACAUCAGUUGAACAAAAGUUGGAAAUCCGCAAAACAGCGCAUGUGAGGCCCAGUCAUUUGAGCGGAUAGUGUUCCACUUCAUUGUUCCCUAGCUGUAGAGUUGUUGGAGAAAACCCUGUAUUGUUAUGUUACAAAGAUAAUUAAAUAAAAGAGUAGAAUUUA